This 253-nucleotide ribosomal RNA is filed under the name uncultured bacterium. RNAcentral describes it as "partial 16S ribosomal RNA". It matches the Rfam family "Bacterial small subunit ribosomal RNA", at positions 524 to 776 of the family's 1533-position model. The record is from RNAcentral.
UACGUAGGGUGCAAGCGUUGUCCGGAAUUAUUGGGCGUAAAGAGCUCGUAGGCGGUUUGUCGCGUCUGCUGUGAAAUCCCGAGGCUCAACCUCGGGCUUGCAGUGGGUACGGGCAGACUAGAGUGCGGUAGGGGAGACUGGAAUUCCUGGUGUAGCGGUGGAAUGCGCAGAUAUCAGGAGGAACACCGAUGGCGAAGGCAGGUCUCUGGGCCGCAACUGACGCCGAGGAGCGAAAGCAUGGGGAGCGAACAGG